This 30-nucleotide ribosomal RNA is filed under the name Suillus granulatus. RNAcentral's name for it is "partial 5.8S ribosomal RNA". Lineage: Eukaryota; Fungi; Basidiomycota; Agaricomycetes; Boletales; Suillaceae. The record is from RNAcentral. RNAcentral also lists the same sequence under 1 other name.
CAACUUUCAGCAACGGAUCUCUUGGCUCUC